Molecule: transfer RNA, 74 nt
Filed under: Candidatus Sungiibacteriota bacterium
Lineage: Bacteria; Candidatus Sungiibacteriota
Description: tRNA-Gln
Rfam family: tRNA
About the family: Transfer RNA (tRNA) molecules are approximately 80 nucleotides in length. Their secondary structure includes four short double-helical elements and three loops (D, anti-codon, and T loops).
Source: RNAcentral
UGCGGGGUCGGCUAGUGGUAGGCCGCGACUCUCUGAAAGUCGAUACCUUGGUUCGAAUCCAAGCCCCGCAGCCA